Molecule: ribosomal RNA, 492 nt
Filed under: uncultured bacterium
Lineage: Bacteria
Description: SSU rRNA
Rfam family: Bacterial small subunit ribosomal RNA
Source: RNAcentral
AGGACGAACGCUGGCGGCGUGCUUAACACAUGCAAGUGGAGCGACGAACCAGGGCUUGCCCUGGGGCAGAGCCGCGAACGGGUGAGUAACACGUGGGUUACCUGCCUUGAUGGCCGGGACAACCCGAGGAAACUCGGGCUAAUACCGGAUGUGCCCGCAAGGGGAAAGGAAGCUUCGGCCUCCGCAUCAAGAUGGGCCCGCGGCCCAUUAGCUAGUUGGUGAGGUAACGGCUCACCAAGGCUUCGAUGGGUAGCUGGUCUGAGAGGACGAUCAGCCACACUGGGACUGAGACACGGCCCAGACUCCUACGGGAGGCAGCAGUGGGGAAUCUUGCGCAAUGCGCGAAAGCGUGACGCAGCAACGCCGCGUGGGGGAAGAAGGCUUUCGGGUUGUAAACCCCUUUCAGUUGGGACGAAGCUUCUCCGGUGAAUAGCCGGACGGAGUGACGGUACCUUCACAAGAAGCACCGGCUAACUACGUGCCAGCAGCCGC